This 279-nucleotide unclassified non-coding RNA is filed under the name plant metagenome. Its description in RNAcentral is "partial contains small subunit ribosomal RNA, internal transcribed spacer 1, and 5.8S ribosomal RNA". The record is from RNAcentral.
UUUCCGUAGGUGAACCUGCGGAAGGAUCAUUAUUGUAUAACCUAGGUGCGAUUGCUGUCGCUGACCCGAAGGAUCGUCCAAGCCCGAAUGCCCUCACACCCAUCCAUCUAACCCCUAUAUACACCACCACCUCGCUCCCCCUUAGGCUUAUUCGGGAGGGCGCUUUCGUUUUCACACCAACUUUGUAUUCAGUAGGUCUUUUUUUUUUUGUUUUUGCGAUCGCGUAAUCAAUACUACUUUCAACAACCGAUAUCUUUACUCUCGCAACGAUGAAGAACA